This 584-nucleotide ribosomal RNA is filed under the name uncultured fungus. RNAcentral's name for it is "eukaryotic LSU rRNA". The stretch from base 227 to 380 matches the Rfam family "5.8S ribosomal RNA". Lineage: Eukaryota; Fungi. The record is from RNAcentral.
AAGUCGUAACAAGGUUUCCGUAGGUGAACCUGCGGAAGGAUCAUUAUCGAGAUGGGGUCCUCCGGGGCCCGACCUCCAACCCUGUGUUUACGCAUUCUGUUGCCUCGGCGGGGCGUCGCUGCCCACAGUGGGCAGGCGCCGUCGGCCUCGCGGCCGUCGAGCCCCCGCCGGAGGGAAGCUCCAAACUCUUAUAAAUCAGACGUCUGAGCACAAUACAAUACUUCAAAACUUUCAACAACGGAUCUCUUGGUUCUGGCAUCGAUGAAGAACGCAGCGAAAUGCGAUAAGUAAUGUGAAUUGCAGAAUUCAGUGAAUCAUCGAAUCUUUGAACGCACAUUGCGCCCCUUGGUAUUCCGAGGGGCAUGCCUGUUCGAGCGUCAUUUAAAGACCAUCAAGCCCCGGCUUGGGAAUUGGACGUCGCCCCCGCGGGGGGCGCGCCCCAAAGACCUCGGCGGCGGACCAGUGGCCUCAGGCGUAGUAGAAACUUCUUGCCGCCUACAGAGGCCCCGGGCCGCCCGCUCCCAGCGACAACCCCAAUCUUCAAGGUUGACCUCGGAUCAGGUAGGGAUACCCGCUGAACUUAA